UGCCAGCCGCCGCGGUAAUACGGAGGGGGCUAGCGUUGUUCGGAAUCACUGGGCGUAAAGCGUGCGUAGGCGGUUUGGCAAGUUGGAAGUGAAAUCCCGGAGCUCAACUCCGGAACUGCUUCCAAAACUGCUGGACUAGAGAAUGGUAGAGGAUAGUGGAAUUCCUAAUGUAGAGGUGAAAUUCGUAGAUAUUAGGAGGAACACCAGAGGCGAAGGCGACUAUCUGGGCCAUUUCUGACGCUAAGGCACGAAAGCGUGGGGAGCAAACAGGAUUAGAUA
Molecule: ribosomal RNA, 279 nt
Filed under: uncultured bacterium
Lineage: Bacteria
Description: partial 16S ribosomal RNA
Rfam family: Bacterial small subunit ribosomal RNA
Source: RNAcentral